RNAcentral lists this ribosomal RNA (610 nucleotides) under Limnobacter sp. RNAcentral's name for it is "bacterial SSU rRNA". It matches the Rfam family "Bacterial small subunit ribosomal RNA", at positions 33 to 642 of the family's 1533-position model. The record is from RNAcentral. Lineage: Bacteria; Pseudomonadati; Pseudomonadota; Betaproteobacteria; Burkholderiales; Burkholderiaceae.
GGGCUUGGCGCAGCUUACCAUGCAGUCGAACGGUAACAGGGAGCUUGCUCCGCUGACGAGUGGCGAACGGGUGAGUAAUACAUCGGAACGUGCCCAGUAAUGGGGGAUAGCUCGGCGAAAGCCGGAUUAAUACCGCAUACGCCCUGAGGGGGAAAGUGGGGGACCGCAAGGCCUCACGUUAUUGGAGCGGCCGAUGGCUGAUUAGCUAGUUGGUAGGGUAAAGGCCUACCAAGGCGACGAUCAGUAGCUGGUCUGAGAGGACGAUCAGCCACACUGGGACUGAGACACGGCCCAGACUCCUACGGGAGGCAGCAGUGGGGAAUUUUGGACAAUGGGGGAAACCCUGAUCCAGCAAUGCCGCGUGUGCGAAGAAGGCCUUCGGGUUGUAAAGCACUUUUGUCAGGGAAGAAAUCCUUUGGGCUAAUACCCUAGGGGGAUGACGGUACCUGAAGAAUAAGCACCGGCUAACUACGUGCCAGCAGCCGCGGUAAUACGUAGGGUGCAAGCGUUAAUCGGAAUUACUGGGCGUAAAGCGUGCGCAGGCGGUUGUGUAAGACAGGUGUGAAAUCCCCGGGCUUAACCUGGGAAUUGCAUUUGUGACUGCACGACU